Molecule: ribosomal RNA, 471 nt
Filed under: uncultured organism
Description: partial 16S ribosomal RNA
Rfam family: Bacterial small subunit ribosomal RNA
Source: RNAcentral
ACUCCUGCGGGAGGCAGCAGUGGGGAAUUUUGGACAAUGGGCGAAAGCCUGAUCCAGCAAUGCCGCGUGUGUGAAGAAGGCUUUCGGGUUGUAAAGCACUUUUGUCCGGAAAGAAAUCCUUGGCUCUAAUACAGUCGGGGGAUGACGGUACCGGAAGAAUAAGCACCGGCUAACUACGUGCCAGCAGCCGCGGUAAUACGUAGGGUGCGAGCGUUAAUCGGAAUUACUGGGCGUAAAGCGUGCGCAGGCGGUUUGCUAAGACCGAUGUGAAAUCCCCGGGCUCAACCUGGGAACUGCAUUGGUGACUGGCAGGCUAGAGUAUGGCAGAGGGGGGUAGAAUUCCACGUGUAGCAGUGAAAUGCGUAGAGAUGUGGAGGAAUACCGAUGGCGAAGGCAGCCCCCUGGGCCAAUACUGACGCUCAUGCACGAAAGCGUGGGGAGCAAACAGGAUUAGAUACCCCUGUAGUCCCA